GCGCAAGGUCGUAACAUUCCUGAGCAGAGCUGCUUCAGUGCUAGGAGCGCUUUAAUACAAUACACAGUCGGUGUGUGUUAAAGGUGCAAUAUAUAUAUAUUUUAAUUCCUUACUUGUACUUUAACCUGGAAGAUUAGAAGAGUAGAACAUGAAAAAAGCCGUGGCCUUAGCAAAAGUGUACUAAGCGGAUGAGAAAAUGUGUACUAAGCAUUUGGAAAACUGACUUCCGGUCCGGAAAGUUGUUUGUGUUUGGAUGUGCUGCCUGUCAGUCAUUUUAUAAGCGUUGUAUAUGUGCUCUAAUGUGAUCUUGCCUCCCUCCACCAAAGUUAAAUUCCAAUACUCAAGAACGCAAGAACGGAGGACGCGUGAAAUUACCCGGGUGUGUUCUUGAUAUCGCGGACGCAUCGGAUACAGACUUGAACGAAUCGAACGCACUUGAAGUCCCAGAAGUCAUUGCAGCAAAACAAUGGCGGAUGACGGAAGCCUGACCCAUAACUUGUUGAAUUUAUUGUCCAUUUGGCGGUCCUGUCCCACUACUAGAAAUGUGCCGGGACGGUCCAUUGCACAACAGGAAGAUCGCAGCACAGCUCAGUUCUCGUAAAGACACAAGAUGUCCUGUCCUUCUGAGUUCUUCCAAGAUUUACGAGUGAAAGGUUGGAUUUGUGCUGCGUCACGUUGCUUCAUCGAGACGCUAAAGGUCUACAUCAGCUUUCCACACAGAAAUGCGCUGACGUGCUGCGCAGCGUGUUUUACUGUGGCUCAUUGGAAGUGUCGUGGAAAUUUAUGGCAUCAAUUCGCACAUUUGGAAACAGGCGAGUGGUUUCUCCUCCAUGGAAAGACAAGUUUAUGUUCCUGUUCCUGUGCUUGGAUGAAAUUGUUCAACGCCAGAGUAACAGGGUACACACAAACACAAUGGACCAGCUAUUUUACCUCGAGUUUUUUAAAAACCUGAGCUGAAUUGCUUACAGGAACACUGUGUAAAUGUAAUACAGGUUUAUUCAGCACAACACUGGCAUACAUAAUGAUGCCAGAUUGCACACUUGUAUCGAUGUGUGAUACAUCUCUCGGCUUUCGGAUUCGCCUGAUUCAUCCUGAUGCUCAGCACUUAUGACUCACUUGCUGUAAAUGGUCCCACAUAAAAUAGAGUUCCAAGGUUUAGGGACCACCAGUAGGCUUUUUGAAAAAGAAAAAAAAAAGUUUCCAUCUACCACUCUAAAGCGUGAUGCUUCAGUUUUUCCAGUAGAUGUUUUCUGAGUUUAACUGAGAACAUCCUGUGACUGAGGUAGGACCUAAACCAGCUGUGCCUUCACAUGCCUUCACAGGCCAACCACGCUCAAGGCAUUUAAUGAGAAUAUUAUGAUCUGCUACAGCAGUCGUCAAAUGUCGGACCAUGGCUCAGAUGUGGACCGAGCAAAGUCAGACUGAAUAUUUGAAAAUAUCACAAAUUGUUAAGUAUUGAAAGGUAACUGGUGUCGCCAUUCAGUCAUGUUAGUUGCAGGCCAUAUAAGCAAAGAAUUUUAUGUUGUAGUCUACCAAGCAACAAUUCACUCACCUUUAACAAGACAGACUUUGUGCUACGAAAGGUUUUAAAACCAGACUGAAAAUAUUCAAACAUCUACCUCUUUAAGAUGACAGAGAACUACUUUAGUGGAGGAUUACGUACAUUCUAUGAUUUAAAUUUCCAUAAAACUACAGUGCCAGAGCUCGGCUCCGCCCCACUGAGCUCCCUCUACUUCAUACAAUUCAUGAAGAAUUGUUUCAGACUGUAAGAAAAUAAAUACGAACCUGAAAACUGAAAAAGAGUGAGAGAAUGUGGAUUGGUUUAGUUUCCCUCACCUUGGGU
Pangasianodon hypophthalmus (striped catfish) is the source of this 1843-nucleotide long non-coding RNA. RefSeq lists it as uncharacterized. The transcript is spliced from 3 exons. NCBI's taxonomy places the organism in Eukaryota, Metazoa, Chordata, Actinopteri, Siluriformes, Pangasiidae. The record is from RefSeq and is a predicted model, not a curated record.